UACGUAGGGUGCGAGCGUUAAUCGGAAUUACUGGCGUAAAGCGUGCGCAGGCGGUUUUGUAAGCCAGAUGUGAAAUCCCCGGGCUUAACCUGGGAAUGGCAUUUGGGACUGCAAGGCUGGAGUACGGCAGAGGAGACUGGAAUUCCUGGUGUAGCAGUGAAAUGCGUAGAGAUCAGGAGGAAUACCGAUGGCGAAGGCAGGUCUCUGGGCUGAUACUGACGCUCAUGCACGAAAGCGUGGGGAGCAAACAGG
RNAcentral lists this ribosomal RNA (252 nucleotides) under uncultured bacterium. RNAcentral's name for it is "partial 16S ribosomal RNA". It matches the Rfam family "Bacterial small subunit ribosomal RNA", at positions 524 to 776 of the family's 1533-position model. The record is from RNAcentral.